Molecule: ribosomal RNA, 497 nt
Filed under: uncultured bacterium
Lineage: Bacteria
Description: partial 16S ribosomal RNA
Rfam family: Bacterial small subunit ribosomal RNA
Source: RNAcentral
GAUGAACGCUGGCGGCGUGCCUAAUACAUGCAAGUCGAGCGAACAGAUGAGGAGCUUGCUCCUCUGACGUUAGCGGCGGACGGGUGAGUAACACGUGGAUAACCUACCUAUAAGACUGGGAUAACUUCGGGAAACCGGAGCUAAUACCGGAUAAUAUAUUGAACCGCAUGGUUCAAUAGUGAAAGACGGUUUUGCUGUCACUUAUAGAUGGAUCCGCGCCGCAUUAGCUAGUUGGUAAGGUAACGGCUUACCAAGGCAACGAUGCGUAGCCGACCUGAGAGGGUGAUCGGCCACACUGGAACUGAGACACGGUCCAGACUCCUACGGGAGGUAGCAGUGGGGAAUCUUCCGCAAUGGGCGAAAGCCUGACGGAGCAACGCCGCGUGAGUGAUGAAGGUCUUCGGAUCGUAAAACUCUGUUAUUAGGGAAGAACAAAUGUGUAAGUAACUAUGCACGUCUUGACGGUACCUAAUCAGAAAGCCACGGCUAACUACGUG